Jatropha curcas is the source of this 1304-nucleotide long non-coding RNA. RefSeq lists it as uncharacterized. The record is from RefSeq and is a predicted model, not a curated record. NCBI's taxonomy places the organism in Eukaryota, Viridiplantae, Streptophyta, Magnoliopsida, Malpighiales, Euphorbiaceae.
AACCAGAACCCUUUAGAAGCCUCUCUAUCACUUUGAACGCCAACUUCAUCCCCUCCCUCCCCUUUGUUUUUCAUUUUCGCUAUCGCCGGACAACAGCCGUCCACCACCACCUCACCGCAGGUCCGGCCUCUCUUUCUCUUUUCGUUGAUGGCGAACGCAGCAACCGCAGGAGACUCGAUCGGGAAAUCGCGUCGCAACUCACUCCUCGAUCUUCCGGCGACUGCAGCUCUCUUCGGUCGACUCCAGCUUCGUCUCGUCAACGGCGAAGCUCCUAUACCUCGCUCUCUUCCCUUUCCGGCUGGCGCAGCAAGCUAGCAGAUCUGCGAUCGUGGCUUGCGAUCGGUACUAUCGCGUUACUGCUUUCUUUUAUUUUUCCGGUGAGAUCAAACGCAAGCCGGUGAGACUGAGCCUUCUCUCAUUGCCAGCAGCCUUUGAUACUCCAUUGUUGUCUCCUCCAGUCAAGCUGUCGCCGGCAGCAGUGGGUUUUGGCUUUGAAGUUCACUUCCGGUCACUUUAAUUAAUUGAAAAAUCGGAGUCCUUCAGUGGGUUUUUCAGCUGGAUGUGUUGUGAUGAUGACAUGCCUUGUUUGCGUGGAAUUGGAAUGAAGUCUUCACCAUUGGGUUUGUGAGGGCAGUCUACGAUACCGUUGGCCAUGUAUGGAGAGAUCGGCUCCCCCGUGUGCAUCUGAUGAUAUGAUUGAUAUGGAUAAAAUACAGGGUGGCCUCUUAUUGGUAAUGGAAAAGUAAAGAGAGGAUGGAAAAAAAGAGAGGGUUGGUCAACUGAGGAUUAGACCGGUCGACCAUGUAUGGGGCAUCGGCUCACUGGUGCACGCGUUUGAGAGGAUGAGCCAUGUGUGAGGAUGGCUCAUCGGGGGUUUCGGUGAUACCACAAACCAAUUUCCACUUGUUUGAUUAUGUGGAGGUGUACUUAUCUGUGGGUACUGAGUUGUGCCAUAUGCUUGACUGAUUGUGUGUUCAUUUUAGUAUUUUAGGAAGCAUUGCGCUGUGAAUGCUUGUGUUAUGCCAUAAUUAAUAUUCAUUAUAAAACUCACAUUUCUUUGGUUUAACUUUUCCAAGAAGUAUAUUUUUCUUUGUACCGGCUAAAGCUCUGUUUCCUUCACCGCAGAGCUAGAAAAGUAAUUCUCUGAUUCCAGCAUAAGGAGUUAUUUAUUUCUGUUGUCAUUGAACUCUACGGAUGCAAGAUUAUUAAAUCACUUGUUAUAUAUAUGGAUAUUUGUAUUUGAAUUGGGGCCUUUAAAACGGUUUGGAUUAUUAUCAUUAAAUUGGACUGUCUAGUUGAAUAUA